UAUGACACCAUAUGGCUAUUUCG
Molecule: microRNA, 23 nt
Filed under: Pristionchus pacificus
Lineage: Eukaryota; Metazoa; Nematoda; Chromadorea; Rhabditida; Neodiplogasteridae
Description: ppc-miR-8241-5p
Source: miRBase by way of RNAcentral